GUGGCCGUAGCUCAGUUGGUAGAGCACAGGAUUGUGGCUCCUGGUGUCGUGGGUUCGAUCCCCAUCGGCCACCCCA
This 76-nucleotide transfer RNA is filed under the name Pseudomonadales bacterium. Its description in RNAcentral is "tRNA-His". It matches the Rfam family "tRNA". Rfam says of the family: Transfer RNA (tRNA) molecules are approximately 80 nucleotides in length. The record is from RNAcentral. Lineage: Bacteria; Pseudomonadati; Pseudomonadota; Gammaproteobacteria; Pseudomonadales.